This 501-nucleotide ribosomal RNA is filed under the name uncultured bacterium. Its description in RNAcentral is "partial 16S ribosomal RNA". It matches the Rfam family "Bacterial small subunit ribosomal RNA", at positions 29 to 523 of the family's 1533-position model. The record is from RNAcentral.
AUUGAACGCUGGCGGCAUGCCUUACACAUGCAAGUCGAACGGCAGCACGGGUGCUUGCACCUGGUGGCGAGUGGCGAACGGGUGAGUAAUACAUCGGAACGUACCUUAUCGUGGGGGAUAACGCAGCGAAAGCUGUGCUAAUACCGCAUACGCCCUGAGGGGGAAAGCGGGGGAUCGAAAGACCUCGCGCGAUUAGAGCGGCCGAUGCCUGAUUAGCUUGUUGGUGGGGUAAAAGCCCACCAAGGCGACGAUCAGUAGCUGGUCUGAGAGGACGAUCAGCCACACUGGGACCGAGACACGGCCCAGACUCCUACGGGAGGCAGCAGUGGGGAAUUUUGGACAAUGGGGGCAACCCUGAUCCAGCAAUGCCGCGUGAGUGAGGAAGGCCUUCGGGUUGUAAAGCUCUUUUGUCAGGGAAGAAACACCGGCUCUAACACAGUCCGGGAAUGACGGUACCUGAAGAAUAAGCACCGGCUAACUACGUGCCAGCCGCCGCUGUAA